Molecule: ribosomal RNA, 423 nt
Filed under: uncultured bacterium
Lineage: Bacteria
Description: bacterial SSU rRNA
Rfam family: Bacterial small subunit ribosomal RNA
Source: RNAcentral
UAAGGAAUAUUGGGCAAUGGACGCAAGUCUGACCCAGCCAUGCCGCGUGGAGGAUGAAGGUCCUCUGGAUUGUAAACUUCUUUUAUCUGGGAAGAAACCCAUGAAUUCUUUCGUGGUUGACGGUACCAGAUGAAUAAGCACCGGCUAACUCCGUGCCAGCAGCCGCGGUAAUACGGAGGGUGCAAGCGUUAUCCGGAUUUACUGGGUUUAAAGGGUGCGUAGGCGGACAGGUAAGUCAGUGGUGAAAUCCCCGAGCUCAACUCGGGAACUGCCGUUGAUACUAUCUGUCUUGAAUACCGUGGAGGUGAGCGGAAUAUGUCAUGUAGCGGUGAAAUGCUUAGAUAUGACAUAGAACACCGAUUGCGAAGGCAGCUCACUACGCGGUCAUUGACGCUGAGGCACGAAAGCGUGGGGAGCAAACAG